AAAUCUUAAUUAAACAUUAACCAAAUCCUAAGUCAAAUUUCAAUUGAAAUCCUAAUAAAAUCUUAACCAAAUUCUAUAUGAAAUCCUAAUUAAAUCCUAAAUAAAUCCUAAAUCCUAAAAAAUCUUGAAAAAAUCUUAGUCAACUUCUAGUUAAGUUUUAAAUCAAAUUCCAAAAAAAUCCUAAUCCUAAUCAAAUUCUAGACCAAAUCCUAAGUCCUAACUAAACCGUAGACAAAUCCUAAAUCAAA
Molecule: long non-coding RNA, 248 nt
Filed under: Physcomitrium patens
Lineage: Eukaryota; Viridiplantae; Streptophyta; Bryopsida; Funariales; Funariaceae
Description: long non-coding RNA (PPAT_LNC000275)
Source: RNAcentral